GACGAACGCUGGCGGCGUGCUUAACACAUGCAAGUCGAGCGGUAAGGCCCUUUCGGGGGUACACGAGCGGCGAACGGGUGAGUAACACGUGGGUGACCUGCCCUUAGCUCUGGGAUAAGCCUGGGAAACUGGGUCUAAUACCGGAUAUGACUCCAUGACGCAUGUUGUGGGGUGGAAAGCCUUGUGCGGCUGAGGAUGGGCCCGCGGCCUAUCAGCUUGUUGGUGGGGUGAUGGCCUACCAAGGCGACGACGGGUAGCCGGCCUGAGAGGGCGACCGGCCACACUGGGACUGAGAUACGGCCCAGACUCCUACGGGAGGCAGCAGUGGGGAAUCUUGCGCAAUGGGCGAAAGCCUGACGCAGCGACGCCGCGUGAGGGAUGACGGCCUGGU
This 391-nucleotide ribosomal RNA is filed under the name uncultured bacterium. RNAcentral's name for it is "bacterial SSU rRNA". It matches the Rfam family "Bacterial small subunit ribosomal RNA", at positions 28 to 420 of the family's 1533-position model. The record is from RNAcentral.